This 755-nucleotide ribosomal RNA is filed under the name Holbrookia maculata (lesser earless lizard). Its description in RNAcentral is "partial 12S ribosomal RNA". It matches the Rfam family "Bacterial small subunit ribosomal RNA", at positions 399 to 1371 of the family's 1533-position model. The record is from RNAcentral. Lineage: Eukaryota; Metazoa; Chordata; Lepidosauria; Squamata; Phrynosomatidae.
ACACCAGUGAAAAUGCCCUAACAGCAUAAAUGGAGCAGGUAUCAGGCACGAAAGUUCAGCCCAAGACACCAAGCCAUGCCACACCCACACGGGCCCUCAGCAGUGAUAAACAUUAAGCAAUAAGCGAACACACCCCCAAGCUUGACUUAGUUAUGAUUAAACAGGGCCGGUAAACCUCGUGCCAGCCACCGCGGUUAUACGAAGGGCCCAAAGCAGCAGAUCCUCGGCGUAAAUCGUGAUUAGAGCCCUACCAAAAAACUAAAAGCUAAACAACAGCCUAACCGUAAAACACAGGCUAAAUGAAACCACUACGCUUUUAAUAAAAGGCAGUUUGAACCACGAAAAUUAAGAAACAAACUAGGAUUAGAUACCCUACUAUGCUUAAUCGUUAAUAUGACACCUCAAUACACAAGAUGUCCGCCAGAAAAUUACGAGCGAAAAGCUUAAAACUCAAAGGACUUGGCGGUGCCCCACACCCGACUUAGAGGAGCCUGUCCUAUAAUCGAUACUCCACGCUAAACCUCACCAUUCAUUGCCUAGACAGCCUAUAUACCGCCGUCGCCAACUUACCCUCUGAAGGUAAAACAGUAAGUACAAUAGUCUAUUAACUAAAACGUCAGGUCAAGGUGUAGCUUAUAGAAUGGAAGAGAUGGGCUACAUUUUUUAUAACAAAACAUACGGCAUGGAACUGUGAAACCAGUUCUUAAAGGAGGAUUUAAUAGUAAAACUAAUAAGAAAAUUAAUUUUAAACACGC